CAGAGGAGCCAAGCGUUGUCCGGAUUGACUGGGCGUAAAGCGCACGCAGGCGGAUGCGCGCGUGGGGUGUGAAAUCUGGCCGCUUAACGGCCAGGCGCCAUCCCAUACGGCGCGUCUGGAGCCUUGCAGAGGUCGGUGGAAUAGCCGGUGUAGUGGUGAAAUGCGUAGAGAUCGGCAGGAACACCCAGGGGGAAACCAGCCGACUGGGCAAGUGCUGACGCUGAGGUGCGAGAGCGUGGGGAGCGAACCGGAUUAGAUACCCGGGUAGUCCACGCCGUAAACGAUGGCCACUCGGCCUUUGGGGGCGGAAUCUCCGUCCGUGGGGGCCUUAGCAAACGCGGGAAGUGGCCCGCCUGGGAACUACGAGCGCAAGCUUA
RNAcentral lists this ribosomal RNA (377 nucleotides) under uncultured organism. RNAcentral's name for it is "bacterial SSU rRNA". It matches the Rfam family "Bacterial small subunit ribosomal RNA", at positions 526 to 896 of the family's 1533-position model. The record is from RNAcentral.